GGAGAGAUGCCUGAGUGGUUGAAAGGGGCGGUCUCGAAAACCGUUGUACCUUCGGGUACCCGGGGUUCGAAUCCCCGUCUCUCCGCCA
Molecule: transfer RNA, 88 nt
Filed under: Abditibacteriota bacterium
Lineage: Bacteria; Pseudomonadati; Abditibacteriota
Description: tRNA-Ser
Rfam family: tRNA
About the family: Transfer RNA (tRNA) molecules are approximately 80 nucleotides in length. Their secondary structure includes four short double-helical elements and three loops (D, anti-codon, and T loops).
Source: RNAcentral